AGGGUUAUAACCUUGUGACCUUUGAACUUUUCGUGGAGCACUCUUCUUCUUCGCGCAAACGGCAAAGACGGCGGCGAAGAUUACUCUACUCCGGCGAAAUUCUUCAGUUUUCCGUCGUGAUCGGAAGCGAACACUCAACCUCCGGUCUCAUUCUCUUGCUUUCGUCUCUGUCUCAAACUCUCUUCUCGUCUUCGACCUCUCCGAUUCACUCAAAGUAACAGCCACCGGAGCCACUCCCUCCGACGGUGGAUGCGACGGAAAAUUCUGAAAGACCAGAGAACAGAUUGAUUCGAUAACGAUCUUGGCCUUUUCUUCCAAUCGAACUCGGCGUUGAAACUUGUUGAAUGCCUUUUGUCGCAGGUUGUAGAAGAUGACGGCGAGUUAUUGAUGGAGUUGCAGUAUGACGGUGAAAUUGUACUUGAAGAUUGAUGUUACGAUGUUGGUGAAUUCAUGAAGGGCGAACGUUGGAUAUGACGAGUGAUGGCGAUUCGGUUACAGGAUGGAGAACGAAGAACGAUAGAGUUGUGUUGAAGAUGUGCGUUGAAGAUGAAGCGCUUCUAGUUUUUGUGGUGAUUGAAGAGGUUCUUGAAUCUGAAUUUUGGUUACAAAUUUUGGUAGAGAUAAAGCUCUGAAGAUUGGUUGAAGAACGAUUCUGGAUUGAAGUUUGGUGAUGAAGAAGAUGACUAGGAGAGAAGUAUGAGGAUUCGAUUGAGAUUUUCGUUUCUUGCCGGUUUGGAGGUUAUCAAGAGUUGAUGUUGUUUGAAGGUUGGUCAAUGAAGAGGUUGAAUCGAGAGAAUGAAGGUUGAUGAAGGUGAGUUUUUGAAGUGAAUGAGAGGGCUGAGAACUCUGUUAUGGAUCAGAGAUGAGAGUGAAGAUUGAGAGGGUGAGGAGUAUGAAUCUGGAAAAAAUGAUAGAGAGCUUCUGAAUUGGUGGUGGUUCUGGUUAUAUAGCUUUCAAGGUCUUGGUUUGAAGGAUGCAGUAUUUUUCUUUUGAAUGCUGUCAAGGGUCAGUUGCAAAGCGGUAGUUAGGAUUUGGUAUGGUAUGAUGGAGGCGGCAAGUUCGGGUGGUAGUUUGGCAUGUACGAAAACGGUGAAGCGUGGAUCAGCGUUCAAAUUAACUUCAAAAGUGAGUUGCGAUCCCGUUAUGAACUUGGUGUCGGCGUAUUAUAAGCAUUGAGCCAUCUUCGUUGACGAAGCAUGACUUGCCGUGAAGGAUGAAGAUGAAGCCAAGACCUUUUUUGUAAUUUCUAUGUAAUGGUGAUGAAAUAUAGUUUAGCCUUUUGUUUAAUGUAGCUCAGUGAUGAAACAUGUAAUAGAAUUCGAGUCUCGACUUUGUGAUGGAAUUUUGUGUAUGCAUGCUGGUGUAAUGAUGUAAUUGUUAUGAAUGUAUGCUACUGAAGUGUGGCUUUUCCUUGGAAUGUAUGGAUACUACCAAGUAGUUUCUUGAAUGAAAAAUGG
Molecule: long non-coding RNA, 1457 nt
Organism: Vicia villosa (hairy vetch)
Lineage: Eukaryota; Viridiplantae; Streptophyta; Magnoliopsida; Fabales; Fabaceae
Exons: 5
Source: RefSeq, a predicted model, not a curated record